RNAcentral lists this ribosomal RNA (327 nucleotides) under uncultured eukaryote. Its description in RNAcentral is "partial 18S ribosomal RNA". It matches the Rfam family "Eukaryotic small subunit ribosomal RNA", at positions 1470 to 1796 of the family's 1831-position model. The record is from RNAcentral.
CCCUUAGAUGUUCUGGGCCGCGCACGCGCUACACUGAAGGAGGCAGCGUGUACUCCUGGAUCGAAAGAUUUGGGUAACCCGCGAAUCUCCUUCGUGCUAGGGAUUGAGGUUUGCAAUUAUCCUUCAUGAACGAGGAAUUCCCAGUAAGUGCAAGUCAUAAGCUUGCGCUGACUACGUCCCUGCCCUUUGUACACACCGCCCGUCGCUACUACCGAUUGAAUGAUUUAGUGAGGACUUCGGACUGGGACCGAUGCGGCUUUCGGGCUGCGUCGGUAUUCUGGAAAGAUGUCCAAACUGUAUCAUUUAGAGGAAGUAAAANUCGUAACA